Molecule: ribosomal RNA, 111 nt
Filed under: chicken gut metagenome
Source: RNAcentral
GGUGAUAAUUACAAUGAGGAUACACCUGUUCCCAUCCCGAACACAGAAGUUAAGCUCAUUAGUGCCGAAAAUACUUGCGGGUUACCCUGCUGGAAACAUAGGUCAUCGCCA